UCCUGUCCUCCUCCCUCUCUUUGUUGUAUUUUUUUCCCGAAAUACAUCUUCAAUCUAGCUCUGUUGUUCAUCGUUGUUGUCUUUGUUGAAGUCGAUUCGCCGCUGCUCAUCAUCACCACUCGCAAGGUUCUCUCUCUUCGCAAGGUAAUUUCGGUCUCUCUCUGUUGUGUUUCACAUUCGGAGGAAAUAGGUUCUUCUUUCGCUGCUGUUCAUCAUCACCACUCGCAAGGUUCGAUUUCUACGGAGCGUUCUCUUUUCGCAUUGAAUCCACAAUUAGGGUUUUGCUUUGUCAAUUUUCUUCAAAUUUUGUCAAUUUUCUUCAAGUUUUAUCAAUUUUCUUCAGAUCUAACAACAAUUUAUAUCCCGAACCACUCGAUUCAACAGAUCGAAAUCACGAUCUGCUCCAAAAAUUGUUCAUUUUCCCCUGAAUGUGGUACUUUCUCUCAAGAAAUUGUUCCUUUAUAUGCAUGGAAAUCACGUUCAUGAGUGGUUGCUUUGAAUUUAACCUAUCAAUUUCAGAUCUAACAACAAUUCGUAUGUCCAACCACUCGAUUCAAAAGGUUGAAAUCACGAUCCGCUCCAAAAAUUG
Molecule: non-coding RNA, 589 nt
Organism: Camellia sinensis
Lineage: Eukaryota; Viridiplantae; Streptophyta; Magnoliopsida; Ericales; Theaceae
Source: RefSeq, a predicted model, not a curated record